Molecule: ribosomal RNA, 479 nt
Filed under: uncultured bacterium
Lineage: Bacteria
Description: bacterial SSU rRNA
Rfam family: Bacterial small subunit ribosomal RNA
Source: RNAcentral
CUACGUGCCAGCAGCCGCGGUAAUACGGAAGGUCCAGGCGUUAUCCGGAUUUAUUGGGUUUAAAGGGAGCGUAGGCCGUGGAUUAAGCGUGUUGUGAAAUGCAGGUGCUCAACGUCUGCACUGCAGCGCGAACUGGUCCACUUGAGUGUGCGCAACGCAGGCGGAAUUCGUCGUGUAGCGGUGAAAUGCUUAGAUAUGACGAAGAACUCCGAUUGCGAAGGCAGCUUGCGGGAGCACAACUGACGCUGAAGCUCGAAAGUGCGGGUAUCGAACAGGAUUAGAUACCCUGGUAGUCCGCACGGUAAACGAUGGAUGCCCGUUGUCAGGCUGUUUCAGCCCGGUGACCAAGCGAAAGCAUUAAGCAUCCCACCUGGGGAGUACGCCGGCAACGGUGAAACUCAAAGGAAUUGACGGGGGCCCGCACAAGCGGAGGAACAUGUGGUUUAAUUCGAUGAUACGCGAGGAACCUUACCCGGGCU